UUUCCGUAGGUGAACCUGCGGAAGGAUCAUUAUUGAGAUUAACGGGGCGGCGCGAGCCGUCCCAACCAAACCCCCUGUGAACAACACUGUCGUCGGCGCAAGCCGGCGGCGACCUUUACACCUGUCGUACUACGUCCAGAAAGUAAAACAAAAGAGUACAACUCUCAACGAUGGAUCUCUUGGCUCUCGCAUCGAUGAAGAACGCAGC
RNAcentral lists this unclassified non-coding RNA (208 nucleotides) under uncultured fungus. RNAcentral describes it as "sequence contains ITS1, 5.8S rRNA gene". The stretch from base 160 to 208 matches the Rfam family "5.8S ribosomal RNA", at positions 1 to 49 of the family's 154-position model. Lineage: Eukaryota; Fungi. The record is from RNAcentral.